RNAcentral lists this ribosomal RNA (195 nucleotides) under uncultured bacterium WkA38. Its description in RNAcentral is "partial 16S ribosomal RNA". It matches the Rfam family "Bacterial small subunit ribosomal RNA", at positions 338 to 525 of the family's 1533-position model. The record is from RNAcentral.
CCUACGGGAGGCAGCAGUGGGGAAUUUUGGACAAUGGGCGCAAGCCUGAUCCAGCCAUGCCGCGUGCGGGAAGAAGGCCUUCGGGUUGUAAACCGCUUUUGUCAGGGAAGAAACGGCUCUUACUAAUAUUAGGAGCUAAUGACGGUACCUGAAGAAUAAGCACCGGCUAACUACGUGCCAGCAGCCGCGGUAAUU